UACCAUAAAUGAUGACUAUGCUAUGGUGCAUCCUCAUUUCACCACUAUGUGGACAACACAAUCCCAUAAGUGGAUCACUCCUAUGAGCAGCCUGCCAUCUUCUACCAUCUGGACAACCAUCUCAUAGGUAGACCACUUCUAUGGGCAGCCUACCACAUCUCACAAUUUAGACAACACAUCCCACAAGUGAUCACUCCUAUGGAUAGCCUGCC
This 212-nucleotide long non-coding RNA is filed under the name Elaeis guineensis (African oil palm). RNAcentral describes it as "long non-coding RNA (EGUI_LNC019963)". The record is from RNAcentral. Lineage: Eukaryota; Viridiplantae; Streptophyta; Magnoliopsida; Arecales; Arecaceae.